ACAAAUCGAACAUAAUUUUGCAUAUAUCUUUUAACCGCUAUGGUUGAGAUUAUGGAAAACAAAGGGAGGUAAUAAUGUUAAAACCAUUGCUUAUUUUAGGAAAAUUUCACGUGUGCUGGUUUCGCACUGGAAAACAAUGUUUAAACUCAUAUUUGUGUAAUAGCAUCUACAUUUGCACAUUUUCUGAGCUUGAAUACUUAAAUAAGCAAGAUAAGUCUGCAGUUUUGUAGAAAAAGUUGGUAAAAAUAGGAAAAUUAUGCAAAAUAGUGGUUUGUAACAUGCCGCAAACAUAAAUUCUCUUUUUCUUCUUAUUUGAAGUCAUUAUGGCAACAUAUUUCUUCAUGUGACACCUAACCGAUGAAGAAAGACUAAGAUUGAAGCAUUUAUUUGAUAAUAAAUACGAAAUAAUAAGUGAAUGCCACAUCUGGAAGGGGGCGUACACUCCAAGCGUCUAUGGUGUUCUGCGGUGUAGUUUCCGCGGCAAAAGGCUAAGGCUUAAAGCUCACCAUGCACUAUAUUAUCUUGAAAAUAAACAUGCCAUGUCAUCAAAAAUGCAUGUGUCACAUUUAUGCCACAGUCAACUUUGUGUCAACAUCAAGCACUUAAGUUAUGGGCCUCAAAGCAUUAACAAAAGGAAAAUAUGUGCUCAUGAAGGUUCCUUAUGCACUUGAAAAUGUUUUCAAGCUGUGUCUUGUUUACAAUGAUGUUCUCAUAGUCAGAUAUAUUUGCCCACUGUUUCCAAUUGUAGCACUUUGAUUUUCAGACUGUGGUACUGUUUGAUGUGGUCGCAGUUUAAUAGGGAGAACGAGUGGACCCCGAGAACGAUUACACGCAUUAAAGACAUCGUUAGCCACAGAAUCACCCAAUCGCACGACACUUUCCAGACUGUGGUACUGUUUGAUGUGGUCGCAGUUUAAUAGGGAGAACGAGUGGACCCCGAGAACGAUUACACGCAUUCAAGACAUCGUUAGCCACAGAAUCACCCAAUCGCACGACACUUUCCAGACUGUGGUACUGUUUGAUGUGGUCGCAGUUUAAUAGGGAGAACGAGUGGACCCUGAGAACGAUUACACGCAUUCAAGACAUCGUUAGCCACAGAAUCACCCAAUCGCACGACACUUUCCAGGUCAGGGUCUGAA
Long non-coding RNA from Dreissena polymorpha, 1139 nucleotides. RefSeq lists it as uncharacterized. The record is from RefSeq and is a predicted model, not a curated record. Lineage: Eukaryota; Metazoa; Mollusca; Bivalvia; Myida; Dreissenidae. The transcript has 3 exons.